CCAGAGCCUGAAUCAGUGUGUGUGUUAGUGGAAGCGUCUGGAAAGGCGUGCGAUACAGGGUGACAGCCCCGUACACAAAAAUGCACAUAUUGUGAGCUUGAUGAGUAGGGCGGGACACGUGGUAUCCUGUCUGAAUAUGGGGGGACCAUCCUCCAAGGCUAAAUACUCCUGACUGACCGAUAGUGAACCAGUACCGUGAGGGAAAGGCGAAAAGAACCCCGGCGAGGGGAGUGAAAAAGAACCUGAAACCGUGUACGUACAAGCAGUGGGAGCACGCUUAGGCGUGUGACUGCGUACCUUUUGUAUAAUGGGUCAGCGACUUAUAUUCUGUAGCAAGGUUAACCGAAUAGGGGAGCCGAAGGGAAACCGAGUCUUAACUGGGCGUUAAGUUGCAGGGUAUAGACCCGAAACCCGGUGAUCUAGCCAUGGGCAGGUUGAAGGUUGGGUAACACUAACUGGAGGACCGAACCGACUAAUGUUGAAAAAUUAGCGGAUGACUUGUGGCUGGGGGUGAAAGGCCAAUCAAACCGGGAGAUAGCUGGUUCUCCCCGAAAGCUAUUUAGGUAGCGCCUCGUGAAUUCAUCUCCGGGGGUAGAGCACUGUUUCGGCA
This 610-nucleotide ribosomal RNA is filed under the name Shigella sonnei. Its description in RNAcentral is "partial 23S ribosomal RNA". It matches the Rfam family "Bacterial large subunit ribosomal RNA", at positions 296 to 920 of the family's 2925-position model. The record is from RNAcentral. Lineage: Bacteria; Pseudomonadati; Pseudomonadota; Gammaproteobacteria; Enterobacterales; Enterobacteriaceae.